This 445-nucleotide ribosomal RNA is filed under the name uncultured bacterium. RNAcentral's name for it is "partial 16S ribosomal RNA". It matches the Rfam family "Bacterial small subunit ribosomal RNA", at positions 354 to 796 of the family's 1533-position model. The record is from RNAcentral.
GUGAGGAAUAUUGGUCAAUGGGCGAGAGCCUGAACCAGCCAAGUCGCGUGAAGGAAGACGGCCCUACGGGUUGUAAACUUCUUUUGCAAUGGAAUAAAAAGAGUUACGUGUAAUUCAUUGUAUGUACAUUGCGAAUAAGGAUCGGCUAACUCCGUGCCAGCAGCCGCGGUAAUACGGAGGAUCCGAGCGUUAUCCGGAUUUAUUGGGUUUAAAGGGUGCGUAGGCGGAUUGGAAAGUCAGCGGUGAAAGUUUGCAGCUUAACUGUAAAAUUGCCAGUGAAACUGUCAGUCGUGAGUGCAAAUGAGGUAGGCGGAAUGUGUUGUGUAGCGGUGAAAUGCAUAGAUAUAACACAGAACACCAAUUGCGAAGGCAGCUUACUGGGAUGCAACUGACGCUGAGGCACGAAAGCGUGGGGAUCAAACAGGAUUAGAUACCCUAGUAGUCC